CGGACGGGUGAGUAACGCGUGAGAAUCUGCCCUCAGGAGGGGGAUAACGGCUGGAAACGGCCGCUAAUACCCCAUAUGCCGAGAGGUGAAAUGAAUUUCGCCUGAGGAUGAGCUCGCGUCUGAUUAGCUAGUUGGUAGGGUAAAGGCCUACCAAGGCUUCCAUCAGUAGCUGGUCUGAGAGGAUGAUCAGCCACACUGGGACUGAGACACGGCCCAGACUCCUACGGGAGGCAGCAGUGGGGAAUUUUCCGCAAUGGGCGAAAGCCUGACGGAGCAACGCCGCGUGAGGGAUGAAGGCCUCUGGGCUGUAAACCUCUUUUAUCAAGGAAGAAGAUCUGACGGUACUUGAUGAAUAAGCCACGGCUAAUUCCGUGCCAGCAGCCGCGGUAAUACGGGAGUGGCAAGCGUUAUCCGGAAUUAUUGGGCGUAAAGCGUCCGCAGGCGGUCUUACAAGUCUGUCGUUAAAGCGUGGAGCUUAACUCCAUUUCAGCGAUGGAAACUGUAAGACUAGAGUGUGGUAGGGGCAGAGGGAAUUCCCGGUGUAGCGGUGGAAUGCGUAGAUAUCGGGAAGAACACCAGUGGCGAAGGCGCUCUGCUGGGCCAUAACUGGCGCUCAUGGACGAAAGCCAGGGGAGCGAAAGGGAUUAGAUACCCCUGUAGUC
RNAcentral lists this ribosomal RNA (662 nucleotides) under uncultured Cyanobacterium sp. RNAcentral's name for it is "bacterial SSU rRNA". It matches the Rfam family "Bacterial small subunit ribosomal RNA", at positions 99 to 795 of the family's 1533-position model. The record is from RNAcentral. Lineage: Bacteria; Bacillati; Cyanobacteriota; Cyanophyceae; Chroococcales; Geminocystaceae.